GAUGAACGCUGGCGGCGUGCCUAAUACAUGCAAGUCGAGCGAACGGACGAGAAGCUUGCUUCUCUGAUGUUAGCGGCGGACGGGUGAGUAACACGUGGAUAACCUACCUAUAAGACUGGGAUAACUUCGGGAAACCGGAGCUAAUACCGGAUAAUAUUUUGAACCGCAUGGUUCAAAAGUGAAAGACGGUCUUGCUGUCACUUAUAGAUGGAUCCGCGCUGCAUUAGCUAGUUGGUGAGGUAACGGCUUACCAAGGCAACGAUGCAUAGCCGACCUGAGAGGGUGAUCGGCCACACUGGAACUGAGACACGGUCCAGACUCCUACGGGAGGCAGCAGUAGGGAAUCUUCCGCAAUGGGCGAAAGCCUGACGGAGCAACGCCGCGUGAGUGAUGAAGGUCUUCGGAUCGUAAAACUCUGUUAUUAGGGAGGAACAUAUGUGUAAGUAACUGUGCACAUCUUGACGGUACCUAAUCAGAAAGCCACGGCUAACUACGUG
This 497-nucleotide ribosomal RNA is filed under the name uncultured bacterium. Its description in RNAcentral is "partial 16S ribosomal RNA". It matches the Rfam family "Bacterial small subunit ribosomal RNA", at positions 28 to 507 of the family's 1533-position model. The record is from RNAcentral.